RNAcentral lists this ribosomal RNA (484 nucleotides) under uncultured bacterium. RNAcentral's name for it is "partial 16S ribosomal RNA". It matches the Rfam family "Bacterial small subunit ribosomal RNA", at positions 30 to 507 of the family's 1533-position model. The record is from RNAcentral.
AUUGAACGCUGGCGGCAGGCCUAACACAUGCAAAUCGAGCGGAUGAAGGGAGCUUGCUCCUGGAUUCAGCGGCGGACGGGUGAGUAAUGCCUAGGAAUCUGCCUGGUAGUGGGGGAUAACGUCCGGAAACGGGCGCUAAUACCGCAUACGUCCUGAGGGAGAAAGUGGGGGAUCUUCGGACCUCACGCUAUCAGAUGAGCCUAGGUCGGAUUAGCUAGUUGGUGGGGUAAAGGCCUACCAAGGCGACGAUCCGUAACUGGUCUGAGAGGAUGAUCAGUCACACUGGAACUGAGACACGGUCCAGACUCCUACGGGAGGCAGCAGUGGGGAAUAUUGGACAAUGGGCGAAAGCCUGAUCCAGCCAUGCCGCGUGUGUGAAGAAGGUCUUCGGAUUGUAAAGCACUUUAAGUUGGGAGGAAGGGCAGUAAGUUAAUACCUUGCUGUUUUGACGUUACCAACAGAAUAAGCACCGGCUAACUUCGUG